Molecule: long non-coding RNA, 2354 nt
Filed under: Hordeum vulgare
Lineage: Eukaryota; Viridiplantae; Streptophyta; Magnoliopsida; Poales; Poaceae
Description: long non-coding RNA (HVUL_LNC002002)
Source: RNAcentral
AGUGGGGAUGAAAAAAACGAAGGCGAGGCUCAUGCGGCUGGUUGUUGCUAGGGAUAGCAGGUAUUAGAGAAGUUUCUUUCUGGUUAGAAGUGUGCAUAUUGGGUUUACUUGCUUUCCGUGAGCAACCAUCUGAAUGCUGAAAUGUCAUAAAUGGUUGUGAACAGAUCAGAUAUGAUUCGUACAUCAGGUAAAUAGCAUGUACCUCUUUUGAUUUCACAUGUGCAGAGACCACUUGCCAUAUGAUGUUCGUCACUGCGUGUAUUCAAUCCCUUAUUCCUAUAAAACACCCCCAGCUUAUCAAUCUUGCUGCAAAGAUUUGGUUUGAAGGGCCUGCUUGUGAUUAUAUUGUUGUACCUGCAGUGUUGCCACUUAUACCAUCAAUACGGAGCUGAAGCUACACAUGAAGCACUGUGAUCUAGGAAGACAUCAAAAGUACAUAAUAUCUCACUUUAUCGUGCACCUUAUCUACUGCACAUGCACUUAACAUUCUUUCACUUAUAUUGCAUAUUCACAAGGAAAUUUGUUAGUCUUUUAGUGUUUUGAUCAAUUAUUAAAAGCAUUAUAUAUACCCAACAUCCAUGAAAGAAUUAAGUUAGUGGUUUUUUUGCGUGGAGACUACACUUCUUCCGUACCGCUUCUGCGGGUUCUGGAUGACAGUGACGUCGUCUCCCCUAUCAUUUAAAUGUAGUAUGUGAUUUUCUUUAACCACUGAUUCUCCGGACUAUCUUUCUGAGAGGCUUCUUAUCAGUGAGUUUCAACUUCCAUCGGGAGCAUUGUCGCUAAGCUGAAAAGUUCUUAGCAUGAGGACUCAUAGCGAUGCUAUAUGGUCAUUCUCCAUAGAUAGCUAUUUGGUCUAUAUGGUCAUUCUCAAUAGAUGUCUAUUUGCACCUGACUGCGGCACCAAUGGCAAGAUAUCUGGCGACGGAGAAGAAACAUGGCAGUGGGGGUGAUGACAGCAAAGGUAAGCUGAGGCGUCACGGCCUCUUACGGCGGUAAGUGAGGUCCAGUAUAGAACUGUAGAUGCUUUUGGAGUGUGGUUUCCAUGUAUGGGGCCAACCGCCUCUUAAUGCAAUUUGUUAUUGCAUGCCUAAUAUUCAGGCGACGUCUGCAACUUUUCCUAAUAUUCAUGCUUAUGUGUAGUUUAUGGCAUUGCAGACCUAAUCUGUUCACAUGAACAAAUUUAUUUGGUCAGGACCAAGAAAUUAGUGAUGAACAUAUUGCAGUUUAAUGGAUGCGUGGUGACUAUUUGUGGGCAUGGGUACAUUACAAGUAAUUAUAGAUGGGAGAGAGAUAGCAAUGAGCACACUAGCUUUUAUUCUCAAAAUCUGUUGCAUUAAUAAUUUCAGAGUUUACUUUGCAAUGUUGCCAAAAAAGUAGCAUGCAAUCUUUUCUGCUUCUAAAUGAAUUCUUCAAAAUAGACAGGAGAGAACUUUUAGCUUAGCUCCUAGAUUACACAUUUGCAUGCAUUUCCUUUUUUUUAAAGAUCCAACAAGUUGUUAUGGGCAACUGGUUGAGUUGACUACGUGUUUCUUUUUUGUUAAUGAAAAAUACAGUAUUAUUUAGGUUCUGCAUGCAAAUAAACUUCGAAAGGGGUUGUAUAGGCCUUCAACUUCUACUUUCGUGAAAACUCGAACUUCAUUUCCCUAAGAUCAUUGCUAUACAACUAUGCAUGGUGGAAUUAAUUGUGUAAUAAAAAUGUUUUGAAACCAUCUGUGUCAUACAGGGUGAGAUGAAGCUUAGUUCCUUCAUAAAUUAACGAAAUGGUUGUUUUAUGGUAGUAGAAAUUGAUGAUUGUUGCAUGAUUUGUGUUUGUUAUUCCAUUCUGCAUGAUGGACUAUUUUCUUGUUGUUGUAUAUAGGCUAGGGACGCAGACUUCAUAGUGUGGCGGAGGACCAAUGAUAUCACGUGGACGGCUGUAGCAACACAUAAAGUUAACUUCACAUUCCUCGUUGACGACAAUUUUCUUUUUUAUUCUAGGGUUUAGCUUGAUGUCCCAAAUUGUUUACUAGCAGUACUCACAAAUACUCCUAUGGCACGUGAUAUUGCAUGUUUUGGCGGUAAAUGCAACUUGCCUUCAGUUUUUUUCCUUUCAUUUGUAUAUUUUGUGUAAGCCUGUAACAGAAGUUUAAUAAAGAGUUUGGAAAUGUUGGUGGCAAAAGCUGUUUUCAGUAGAAAAUGGUUUUGAUAAGAGUAUUUUUUAUAUAGAUCUCCAAUUCAGUAGAAAAUAUGUUUCCAUUUAUUGAUUUCUAUUGUGCUUGUGUUAAAAAAUAUUUGUACUGCGCUUAGCUGAAGUUCAAGUUUCGGCAAUGCUAAUUGAUCUCUUAAUUUUGUACAGUUUUGUUGUCAAGGUGGUA